Molecule: long non-coding RNA, 7271 nt
Organism: Mytilus californianus (California mussel)
Lineage: Eukaryota; Metazoa; Mollusca; Bivalvia; Mytilida; Mytilidae
Exons: 2
Source: RefSeq, a predicted model, not a curated record
CCCCAUUUUUUCCCCAAAAAAAUUCUUUCCCUCAAGAUAUGGUCAUAAUCUCAAUUCAAAUUUCCAAUGGAGUUGGCAACCAUAAUUACCCAUUUAAAUUUACCAUAGUGCUAACUUAAUCUAUUUUAUAAUAGAAUUUAAAAUAUAGUGUCAAAUCUUUCAUAUGGAUUUUUUUGUAAAAAAAAAAGAUGCAACAUUUGCAGAUAUUUUUACUGGUCUUCCUUUAUAAAUAUGUAUUUCUUUAAACAUAAUUUAAAAGCAGUGUAAGGGAAGUAACCAAAACGUUGUAUUUGGAUUACCUCCCUUACACUGUUUUAAAUUAUCUUUAUUGUUCAUUAACCAUUACUUUAUACAUAAUUUAAAAGCAAUGUAAGGGAGAUAAUUUCAAUGAUGUAUUUGAUUUAUCUCCCUUACACUGCUUUAAAUUAUGUUUUGUACUAAAGUAUUUGUCCAUUAACCAGGACAACCUUGUUUUUCCCCCUUUUUUGCCCCUAAUUCCUAAACGGUUUGAGCCAUAACCCCCCAAAGCAAAUCCUAACCAUCCCUUUGUGGUAUGGAAACUUGUAGUAUAAUUUCAGAGAGAUCCAUACACCGUUCCACAGUUAUUGUCUGGAAACUAGAAAAUGCUUAUUUUUGGCCCCUUUUUGGCCCCUAAUUCCUUAACUGUUGGUACCAUAACCCCCAAAAUCAAUCCCAACCUUCCUUUUGUGGUAUUUAACCUUAUGGUCAAAUUUCAAAAAGAUCCAUUCACUUAAACUAAAGUUAGAGUGCGAAAACCAAUGUGUCUUCGGACAACGACGCCGGACGACGACGACAAUGACGACGACGCCAACGUCAUACCAAUAUACGACCACAAAAUUUUUUUGCGGUCGUAUAAAAACGGGACCCAAAAUUAAAAAUCUAAAUACACGGUUAGAUUUGGAAUAUCAAAGAACCCCAAUAAUUCAAUUUUUGAUGAAAUCAAACAAAGUUUAAUUUUGGACCCUUUUGACCUCAAUAUGAACCAAUUUGAUAGCGGGGUCCACAAAUAAAAAAUCUAAAUACAUGGUUAGAUUCAGCAUAUCAAAGAACCCCAUAUAUAAUUUUUGUUAAAAUUAAACAAAGUUUAAUUUUGGACCCUUUUGACCUCAAUAUGAACUAAUUUGAUAGCGGGGUCCACAAAUAAAAAAUCUAAAUACAUGGUUAGAUUCAGCAUAUCAAAGAACCCCAUAUAUUCAAUUUUUGUUGAAAUCAAAAAAAGUUUAAUUUUGGACCCCAACUUGGACCAACUUGAAAACUGGGCCCCAUUAUCAAAAAUCUAAACACAUGUUUAGAUUCAGCAUAUCAAAGAACCCCAAGAAUUGAAUUUUUGUUAAAAUCAAACUAAGUUUAAUUUUGGACCCUUUGGACCUUAAUGUAGACCAAUUUAAAAAACAGGACCCAAAAUUAAAAAUCUAAAUACACGGUUAGAUUUGGCAUAUCAAAGAACCCCAAUUAUUCAAUUUUUGAUGAAAUCAAACGAAGUUUAAUUUUGGACCCUUUUGACCUCAAUAUGAACCAAUUUGAUAGCGGGGUCCACAAAUUAAAAAUCUAAAUACAUGGUUAGAUUCAGCAUAUCAAAGAACCCCAUAUAUUCAAUUUUGUUGAAAUCAAACAAAGUUUAAUUUUGGACCCCAAUUUGGACCAACUUGAAAACUGGGCCAAAAAUCAAAAAUCUAAAUACAUGUUUAGAUUCAGCAUAUCAAAGAACCCCAUAUAUUCAAUUUUUGUUAAAAUCAAACAAAGUUUACUUUUGGACCCUUUUGAUCUCAAUAUGAAGCAAUUUGAUAGCGGGGUCCACAAAUAAAAAAUCUAAGUACAUGGUUAGAUUCAGCAUAUCAAAAAACCCCAUAUAUUCAAUUUUUGUUGAAAUCAAACAAAGUUUAAUUUUGGACCCCAAUAGGACCAACUUGAAAACUGGGCCAAAAAUCAAAAAUCUAAAUACAUGUUUAGAUUCAGCAUAUCAAAGAACCCCAUAUAUUCAAUUUUUGUGAAAAUCAAACAAAGUUUAAUUUUGGACCCUUUGGACCUUAAUGUAGACCAAUUUGAAAACUGGACCCAAAAUUAAAAAUCUAAAUACACGGUUAGAUACGGCAUAACAAAUAAAUAAAUGUGGUCAAAGAUUUUACAAAUCUAAUGCGCCAUACUGUGCAAUUAAAGAUUACUUCUUGAAAUUUUUCAAUAUUUGAAAUUUGAAAAAAAAAAAUAUUUGAAUAAUAAUUCUUUUUAAUUUCUGAAGUCUGUAAUGAGAAAAAAUUGACCCCCCACAAUUUCUUUUUACACCCCCCCCCCCCCUUUUUUCCCAAAAAAAAUUCUUUCCCUCAAGAUAUGGUCAUAAUCUCAAUCAAAUUUCCAAUGGAGUUCGCAACCAUAAUUACCCAUUUAAAUUUACCAUAGUGCUAACUUAAUCUAUUUUAUAAUAGAAUUUAAAAUAUAGUGUCAAAUCUUUCAUAUGGAUUUUUUUGUAAAAAAAAAGAUGCAACAUUUUCAGAUAUUUUUACUGGUCUUCCUUUAUAAAUAUGAAUUUCUUUAAACAUAAUUUAAAAGCAGUGUAAGGGAAGUAACCAAAACGUUGUAUUUGGAUUACCUCCCUUACACUGUUUUAAAUUAUCUUAAUUGUUCAUUCACCAUUACUUUUUACUUGAUUUAUCUCCCUUACACUGCUUUAAAUUAUGUUUUUGUACUAAAGUAUUUGUCCAUUAUCCAGGACAACCUUGUUUUUCCCCUUUUUUGCCCCUAAUUCCUAAACGGUUUAAGCCAUAACCCCCCAAAGCAAAUCCUAACCAUCCCUUUGUGCUAUGGAAACUUGUAGUAUAAUUUCAGAGAGAUCCAUACACCGUUGCACAGUUAUUGUCUGGAAACUAGAAAAUGCUUAUUUGUGGCCCCUUUUUGGCCCCUAAUUCCUUAACUGAUGGUACCAUAACCCCCAAAAUCAAUCCCCACCUUCCUUUUGUGGAAUUGAACCUUAUGGUAAAAUUUCAAAGAGAUCCAUUUACUUAAACUAAAGUUAGAGUGCGAAAAACCAAUGUGUCUUCGGACAAUGACGACGCCAACGUCAUACCAAUAUACGACCGCAAAAAAACGAAAGUACAGUUUUUGACAACGUUAUUUUGCACAAAUAAAGUGUCUAAGGCAGAUAUAAGUACGCUGAUGUUGCACACUUCGAACGAUGCACUGCCAAUUUAACAGUUUACGUCAGAACUUCGAAUUUGAAUCAAAGAAAGUUUAAUAUCGUUUUUUUUUAAAUAUCAAUCAUUGGGUAUGGGAUGGCCAACUCGGCAACUGAUUACCAUAAUUGCCUUUUGUUUAUUUAGUCUUAAGGGAUUAAAAUCGGGAUAAUAUAUAAAAUGUCCGGGUGGCUAAAAAUAAUUUUGGAAGCCCUGCCAAUGAACCAUUAAAAUGAGGUCAAGGUCAGAUGACACCAGCUAGACAGACAUGUACACCUUACAAUCAUUCCAUACACCAAAUAUAGUUGACCUAUUGCUUACAGUACUUGAAAAACAGACCAAAACACAAAAAAUUAACAAUGACCAAUGAACCAUGAAAAUGAGGUCAAGGUCAGAUGAAACCUACCAGUCAGACAUGUACCCCUUACAAUCAUUCCAUACACCACAUAUAGUUGACCUGCUACUUGUAGUAUCUGAGAAACGGACCUAAUCACGUAAUUUUAACCUUGAUCACUGAUCCAUGAAUUGAGGUCGAGGUCAGGUGAUCCCUGUCUGACGGACAUGUAGACGUUGCAAGGAACCCAUAUACCAAAUACAGUUAUCCUAUUACUCAUAAUAAGUGAGAAAUUCACAUGACAAAAAAUUGUAAUUUUUUUUCAAGCAGUCACUGAACCAUGAAAAUGAGGUCAAGGACAAUGGGCAUACGACAGAGAGAGGGAAUCUGACAUAAAUGUAUUAUUUAACCAAAAUUUGGUUACUUCUGGUACUUUCUAUCAUUUUUCAGAUUUCUUCGUUACGUUUUCUCGUUUAGUAAUGGAAAGAGGCAGAGGAGGGACAACAUUUUGAUACAACAUGCAGAUUUGUCUUAUAUUAUAGAUCGGUCGCAUCACCUGAACAUUUGAAAUUUGUCAAAUAGGAUUAAAUAAAUAAGCAGUAGAAUACAGAAGAAAUAAUUAUACAAUCUACAUGUAUAGAUAAUAAACAAAUUUGGAAAUGGUCUUUAUUUGGUUGGAAUACAUGUAUACAUAUUUAUCCUCAUAAUGAACUUAUUAUUCCCAGGGGUUUAUUUCGUACUUAUUCGACAUUUAUUAAAUACUCAUUUAGUGAUUUUGUUUUUUUUAAUUUCAGUUUUUAUUCAAUACAAAAUUAUUAAUAUUGGACAUAAGUGAAAACUUGCUUUAAUUUCCUAGCAUGCAAAAGAAUACAGUUGAUAUAAAAACUUCAACAAAUUGAUCUUUUUCCAUAUUUGAAAUUGAUGAAGUGAUGCUGAAAUCUUGCAUGAUCUGAUAUGUUUCACUCCUCUGGGUGAAAGCCAAAAUUAAACAAGAAAUGAUUGUAACAGGAUGCUGUUACGAAGUCUCCCAAACGAAGCUCCCAUAAUUCGUAAUUCCCAGUGUCGCCUGACAUUUGACAAAGUCCAGUGAAAAUUGGUUUGGUCCAGUAAAGUUAAUGCAUAAGUGAUGCCUGGGGACUAACCCUGUAUAUCAUUCAAAUCAUCUUGGCAUGACAAACCAGAAUAUAUAUGGUUUAGGGGUGGGGAUCUCGACCAUUUACAAGAUACUAGAACAUUGGGGGUGGGGGGAAACCCAGUGGGGACUGACCGUAUACGUCAUUCAAAUGUUCGAGACAUGAUGAACAGGAAUAUAUAUGGUUUAGUGGUGGGGAUCUCGACCAUUUACAAGAUAUUAGAACUUUCUCAAAUGGCAGGAGGUCGGGAUGACCCCUGGGGACUAACCCUGUAUAUCAUUCAAACCAUCUUGGUAUGACAAACCAGAAUAUAUAUGGUUUAGGGGUGGGGAUCUUGACCACUUACAAGAUAUUAGAACUUUCUUAAAUAGCAGGGGGUGGGGGUGACCCCUGGGGACUAACCCUGUAUAUCAUUCAAACCAUCUUGGUAUGACAAACCAGAAUAUAUAUGGUUUAGGGGUGGGGAUCUUGACCACUUACAAGAUAUUAGAACUUUCUUAAAUAGAAGGGGUUGGGGGUGACCCCUGGGGACUAAUCCUGUAUAUCAUUCAAACCAUCUUCGCAUGACAAACCAGAAUAUAUAUGGUUUAGGGGUAGGGAUCUUGACCACUUACAAGAUAUUAGAACUUUCUUAAAUAGAAAGGGCUGGGGGUGACCCCUGGGGACUAACCCUGUAUUUCAUUUGAUGUGCUUUAUCAUGACAAACCAGAAUAUAUAUGGUUUAGGGGUGGGGAUCUCGACCAUUUACUAGAUAUUAGAACUUUCUCAAAUGGCAGGAGGUCGGGAUGACCCCUGGGGACUAACCCUAUAUAUCAUUCAAACCAUCUUGGUAUGACAAACCAGAAUAUAUAUGGUUUAGGGGUGGGGAUCUUGACCACUUACAAGAUAUUAGAACUUUCUUAAAUAGCAGGGGGUGGGGGUGACCCCUGGGGACUAACCCUGUGUAUCAUUCAAACCAUCUUGGUAUGACAAACCAGAAUAUAUAUGGUUUAGGGGUGGGGAUCUUGACCACUUACAAGAUAUUAGAACUUUCUUAAAUAGAAGGGGCUGGGGGUGACCCCUGGGGACUAACCCUGUAUAUCAUUCAAACCAACUUCGCAUGACAAACCAGAAUAUAUAUGGUUUAGGGGUGGGGAUCUUGACCACUUACAAGAUAUUAGAACUUUCUCAAAUGGCAGGGGGUCGGGAUGACCCCUGGGGACUAACCCUGUAUAUCAUUCAAACCAUCUUAGCAUGACAAACCAGAAUAUAUAUGGUUUAGGGGUGGGGAUCUUGACCACUUACAAGAUAUUAGAACUUUCUUAAAUGGCAUGGGGUGGGGGUGACCCCUAGGGAUUAACCCUGUAUUUCAUUUGAUGUGCUUUAUCAUGACAAACCAGAAUAUAUAUGGUUUAGGGGUGGGGAUCUCGACCAUUUACAAGAUAUCAGAACUUUCUCAAUUGGCAGGGGGUCGGGAUGACCCCUGGGGACUAACCCUGUAUAUCAUUCAAACCAUCUUAGCAUGACAAACCAGAAUAUAUACGGUUUAGGGGUGGGGAUCUCGACCAUUUUCAAGAUAUUAGAACUUUCUCAAAUGGCAGGGGGUCGGGAUGACCCCUGGGGACUAACCCUGUAUAUCAUUCAAACCAUCUUAGCAUGACAAACCAGAAUAUAUAUGGUUUAGGGGUGGGGAUCUUGACCACUUACAAGGUAUUAGAACUUUCAUUAAUGGCAGGGGGUGGGGAUGACCCCUGGGGACUAACCCUGUAUUUCAUUUAAUGGGUUUUAUCAUUUAGAACAUUUUCAAUUAAAAAGAUUGUGUCUUUCACAAACGGUUUUCAAUUUAUAAUCAUUUGAAAAUUUUAAAAAAUAAAAUCCCAUAGGGUUCUAUAGUAAAACCCUCUUUUCUUUUUGCCCCUCAAAGUACCCCUUUAUAAACCCCAUUGCACAAACAAAACCCUGAUUGCACCACUAGACAUGUUAGUCUAACAUAUUGUGAAACCCUAAGUUAAUCUGACAAGCGGUUUUGGAGAACGGGUGCGGACAAGUUCAAAUUUAAAAGCGGCGGAAGAGGAAGAGGAAGAGGAAGAAGAAUAAUAAUAAUAAUAAGAACUGAGCAAAAACAAUAAGUCUUCCCAAACUUCGUUUGGGAGACUUAAUAAUAAGAACUGAGCAAAAACAAUAAGUCUUCCCAAACUUCGUUUGGGAGACUUAAUAAUGAAGAACCAUAAUUUAAUCCAUUUGCACUGUUCUCUGGUAUUGACAUGAAGGCUGUGUGUAUGCCAUGGUGACCUGCAGUUUUAUUAUCCUCAUACUUAAUUCUAUGGUGGAUACCACCACUCCUAAUUUUAAAUAUAACAACUCGAACACACCUGCGAAAUCGCGGGCAUUUAGAGCGUGGUUGAAAGUGUGUAAACUGUAGUAGGAUGAAUUUUUGUAAAAGAUUUUAUGACUGGAGAAUUUCAGGAAAGGUAUCAAAAGUCAUAGGUACUGCAACAGGACAAUAUUUUCUAGCCCGCUUCCUUUUUUUCCAAAGUCUGUUAUUUUUUUGUUUUCUGUUAAUUUCAAUUAUUUUCGCGUUUUCUGUAUACUAUGAACAUACAUAAUUGUUUAUCAUAAAUAAAGUGUAUUUGCUAUUUA